ACAUCCUCAACCCCCCGUCUUUUUUUUCAUUUUUGUUAGUUUGAUUAUCUGCAAAUUGAUGUGCCAUGACCCAGUAGAGGCACAUCCGAGUUUUGUGUUUAGUUUUCUCACCCCAAAUUGCAUCCCAUGACCCAGUAAACUAGUACAGAUGACAUGCCAUGACCCAGUGCACUAGUAGAUAUGUCAUGGCAAUUUUCACCCCCAUUCUGUACCAUGGUAUUUUUGUGAUAUGUAGUUUUCGAUCUGGUUCAGAACUGGUAGGGAUAUUCUAGGGCAAUUUCCAAUAUGCAGUGAACGGCAAAUUUAGAAUCGUUCCACCACAAUUUUUCCAUUUUGUUUUCUUAGGGAGAACCAAAUUUUGCCGCGCCAAAUUCAUACGUUCUGCCAUCACUACAUAGGAGUUCUUUUUUGCCAUGCCGUAGUUUUGCCAUCAAGUUUUACAUUUCUGUCAUAGUUUUGAUGUGUCAAUCGCAUUAUUUCUUCAAGCUGAUGCAUUUUAUUUUUGAAUUUUCAUGUAGCUAGCUGAGUAAUGUUAUGUCCUAUGAAAUUCGGUGACUUUCGUAACAUGGCAUUUCUGUCACAACAAUUCCAUUAUUUUUUGUCACAUGGCAUAUUCUGUCAUUUUUCAUUUUCCUAGUCUUUUUGUUCAUAACUUGGCAAAUUCAUUAAUGGUCACAUGGCAAAUUCAGCUAUGGUCAAAUGGGAAAUAUAUUAGAAAACUAUUUAACAUACAUGGCAAGUUUCUUUUUAAAGCAUGGCAAAUUUAGUUCAUGGAUCAUGGCAAAUUUUACUAAUUCACCAUGGCAAAUUUAGUUUAUGCAUCAUGACAUUUUUACUAAUUCACCAUGGCAAAUUGUAGUUAGAGACAAUAAUUCUAAAUUGUUAUAAUAAAGUUGCCAUGGCAAACUAUAAAAAGAAAAUAAUUCUAGGUUAGUUAUCAAGAAAGUUGCCAUGGCGAAAAAUUGUAAAUAGAGACAGUAAUUCUAAGUUGUUACCAAAAAUUUGCCAUGGAAAUUUGUUGAGACAAAAAUAAUUCUAAGUUGUUAUCAGAAAAGUUGCCAUGGCAAAUUAUAGAGAGACACAUAAUUCUAAGUUUCUAUCAGAAAGUUGCCAUGGAAAUUUCGUAGAGUGAUUUUUUUAAGUUGACAUCAGAAGGUUGCCAUGGCAAAUUGUAGAGAGAACUAAUUCGAAGUUAGUUAUCAGAAAAGUUUCCAUGGCAAUUUUAAGAUGUUAAAAAACAUGGCAAGGUUUUAGAUGUUCAAAAACAUUCCAACUUGCCAUGGCAAUGUUUCAGAUUUUCAAAAACAUUCCAACUUGCCAUGGCAACGUUAUAGAUGUUGAAAAACAUGGCAAACUUGCCAGGGCAACUUAAGAUGUUCAAAAAUAUGGCAAACUUACAGAUGUUCAAAAACAUGUUAAACUUGCCAUGCCAUUUUUAAAAUGUUCAAAACCAUUUGCAAACUUGCCACGGCAAACUAAAGAUGUGCAAAAACAUGGCAAACUUUUUUUAUUAAGUUCAUACAUAAAUAUGGCAAACUUCUUAAGAUGUUCAAAAACAUGGCAAACUUGCCAUGGCAACUAAAGAUGUUCGAAAUCAUGGCAACCUAAUAUGCUGAAAAACAUGGCAAACUUGCCAUGUCAACUAAAAUCACUAUUUGUUUGUAGUUGUGUUUUUUCCCACGACAACUUAUAUAGCCAUGGGUAAACUAACUUUUAAAUCCCAUGGAAAUUUUAAAUUAACUUGUAUAGCCAUGGGCAAUUAACUUUCAAAGCCCAUGGCAAAUUCACCAUUUUAUUGACAUGGCAAGUUUUGUUUCUUAUGUUUGGCAUGGCAACUUUUAUCCUUUAUCGCCAUGGCAUUUUUACUUAUGCAUGCAUGGCAAAUUUUACUUAUCAUUUACGACAAUUUUUACUUCUCAUUCUCCAUGGCAAAUAUACCUUCAUUUUUUGCCAUGGCAAUUUUCAGUUAGUGGAAAUAAUGCAUAAUUUUGCCAUGUUUUUUGUGCACCGAAUAUGCAUAAAUUUGCCAUGUCCUGGAAUACAUAAAUUUGCCCAUGUGACAAGUCUGAAAAUUUCAUAGUUUUGCCAUGUGACCAGGCAUGGAACUUGCCAUGCUAUGAACAAAUUCCAUAAACUUGCUUUUUUGUGACUAGUACUCCAAAAAAUACAUUCUACAUUUUCCAUUAUUCAGAUUGUAGCAUGGCAUUUUCCAGUUUAUUGGCACGGCAAUUUUUACUUUUCUUUUUUGUCAUGGGAAUUAUUUUUUGCCAUUGUAUUUUUGAAUUUUUUGCCCUGGCAACUUUCCCAUGCUUUUGUUAGGAAUCAAAUAUGUUGUAAACCUUGCUAUUUGUAAAAUUAUAUCAUGGAAAAUCAUAAAAUAGUUUGGUCAAACUCGAAUGGUACUUUUUGAAAUUCUCCCUGGCAUUUUUCUGCUUCUAAAGUUGAUGACAUUUUUUUUGUAGUAUAGCAAAAACUAGUCUUUUUAUUUGUCACAGAAAAAGUAAACAGAAUCUGGGCUUCUUCUUUUGUUGUGCUAUUGGGCUUUUUUUUCUUUUUCAUUUUACAUGAAAAAGGCCCGGGCCUGGGGAGGGCGUUCGUGAUUUCGAUGCUCUCUCCUCCCGAAGGCAAAUUUGACAAAUUUGACCUAGAGACGAAAUCAAAUCACAGAAUGAACUGUCCGUGAAACUAUUUCACGCGGCUGACCCGUGGCGCCUAGCUCUCAGGCGCUGCACUAGUGCAACACCUGGGAGCUAGGCGCUGCACUAGUGCAACGCCUGGUAGCUGGGCGCUACACUGUAUAGUGUGGCGCUUAGCUCUCAGGCGCUGCACACUGACUUAGUAAUUUUCUGAUCACACGGGUGCGACGCUGGCCGUGUAGCGCCUAUCUGUGAGGCGUUGCACAGUGUAGUGUGGCGCCUUCGUGUCGGGCGUCACACAAAAAGGUCAGCCGCGUGAAAUAGUUUCACGGAUAGUUCAUUCUGUGAUUUGAUUUCGUCUAUAGAGGUCAAAUUUGUCAAAAAUUGCCCCUGCCGAACGAAAGCGUUCGUGAGGGGUCCAGACCGAACAUUCGGGAGAUAUCGGCGUCCUAUUUGUUUUGUCGCUGCGACUGGGCCUGUGUGUUCUGGUCCCGCCUGUAAGUUCAAAGGGUAGAAGUGGGUCGGUUCAUUUGAAACUUACAGCGCCUCGGUGCCUGGGUUUGUCAGGGAUGCACUAUGAUCACAUUCGCUGAACCAUCGUGGUGGGUGGGUGCGCAGCCCUCGCAGUUUUCUCCCCCCGCACCCCUCUCCUUGCCGAUCUCGCCAGUCGCUUGUCCUCAACCCCACCUUCAGCUUGCCUCUCGACCUUCCUCGUUGCUCACUUCGCCUGGCUCCGCCUUCCCAUCCCCACGGUGGAGUGCGAGGACGAGAUGACGACCGGGUCAUCCGUCAGCCUCGCCGCCGGGGAGCAGUCGGCCCGCGGUCGCGCGGUGCUCUCCGGCCCGCCGAACACGGUCCUGGCAUCGUCCGCGUCGGCGAUGGGCCCGUCGAUGUCGGCCCCCUCGGCGCUACGAGGGGCAAGGGCAGCCACGGCUCGCACGAGAUGCAGCUCCUGCUCGUGGAGUUAAAGGCCGGUGUUGGGGCCCUCAGCGGCGAGGAGGACGACUUGUCGUGUGUACGCAGUUUUCCUCCCGCUCGUGGAGUGCGCGUUUCGGGCCAGCCUCGAGGGUGGCCGUCCGGACGGCGACGAGCUUCGUCUCUGCAUCCAGACCUGCGACGCCGGCAGGCACGCCACUUCUUCGCCCCUCAGUCGCCGGUGCUUUCGUUCUGUCUACGGCGAUGGGGUUGCUUCCUCUGCUCCGUUCAUGUCGCUGAGGUUUUGUGAUGUUUGCCUGUUUCUCGCUCUGGAGUAGGUCCCUGCGUCAAUCUUGCCUUCGGCAUUGAGCAACUCAGCAACAGGGACUGAUCAGCAUGUGCAUAAUGCUCGUUGGUGACUAUUCCUUGCUUUCUUAUCACAUAUAUUGCAAGGCAUCUUCUUCCCGUCUCAGUAAUCAAAAAGUGCACCAUUGGACUGAUGUACCGGAAAGGGUAGUGCCACUGGAGAUAAUUAUUUCAGAUCACCUUCUACUUGAUGGAAGUCAUUAUCAGAAUGUAUGCAUACAACAACAACAACAACAACAAAGCCUUUAGUCCCAAACAAGUUGGGGUAGGCUAGAGGUGAAACCCAUAAGAUCUCGCAACCAACUCAUGGCUCUGGCACAUGGAUAGCAAGCUUCCACGCACCCCUGUCCAUAGCUAGCUCUUUGGUGAUACUCCAAUCCUUCAGGUCUCUCUUAACGGACUCCUCCCAUGUCAAAUUCGGUCUACCCCGCCCUCUCUUGACAU
Aegilops tauschii subsp. strangulata is the source of this 4361-nucleotide non-coding RNA. The record is from RefSeq and is a predicted model, not a curated record. Lineage: Eukaryota; Viridiplantae; Streptophyta; Magnoliopsida; Poales; Poaceae.